UAAUAGGUCUGAGAGUCCAAACUGGCCUCUGUGGGUACUUGGGGCAGAGCGGACCAGGAUGGAGCUGGACCAUGGGGGAAGAAGGUAUAGGCUGCCGCCGCAGCAAACAUUGACCCCAGAUAUGCCCCGCAUGGAAGAUGAAGAUGAAAGGGACGCUGGGCUGAUCUGGAAAGAGACUGAAAGGAAGGAGAGAAGCGAGCAGAGAGGCAGGAUUCGAAGAGGCUCUGUCAGCUAUGGACAUUUUUAAUCACCAGAAACAUGACUGCAGAGAGCUCGGGCAGAAUCGGUAUUAAAUGUUUAAUGCUGUCGCUGGCAUGGUAGGCGUC
Molecule: non-coding RNA, 326 nt
Organism: Peromyscus maniculatus bairdii (prairie deer mouse)
Lineage: Eukaryota; Metazoa; Chordata; Mammalia; Rodentia; Cricetidae
Source: RefSeq, a predicted model, not a curated record